This 89-nucleotide small nucleolar RNA is filed under the name Ricinus communis (castor bean). RNAcentral's name for it is "Plant small nucleolar RNA R71". It matches the Rfam family "Plant small nucleolar RNA R71". Rfam says of the family: R71 is a member of the C/D box family of snoRNAs containing the C (UGAUGA) and D (CUGA) box motifs. Multiple nearly identical copies of this snoRNA have been identified in Arabidopsis, and it is thought to function as a 2'-O-ribose methylation guide for 18S ribosomal RNA. The record is from Rfam by way of RNAcentral. Lineage: Eukaryota; Viridiplantae; Streptophyta; Magnoliopsida; Malpighiales; Euphorbiaceae.
AAUCCGUGAUGUGGGCAGCACCUCUCCCAUGCAUCGUACAUGCUUUCAUCAUCAAACUGCACAAAAAAAGAUAUGUCAUUUCUAAGUUU